GGUUUCUUGAAUAAAUAAGAGAUUUGACCUGCCCACUGAUGAAUUGAAGGGCCGCAGUAUUUUGACUGUGCAAAGGUAGCAUAAUCAUUAGUCUUUUAAUUGGAGGCUGGAAUGAAUGGUUGGACAAGGUAAAUAUUGUAUUAAUUUAAUAUUAUAGAAUUUAGAUUUUGAGUAAAAAGACUUAAAUAUUAUUGAGGGACGAGAAGACCCUAUAGAGUUUAAUAAUUGUUUAUUUAUAUAUAGUUAAAAAGUAUUAUGUUGUGUAAUUAAAAAAUUAUUUAGUUGGGGUGAUUAGAAAAUAAAUAAAACUUUUUUUUAUAUUAAAUGUAUAUAUAUAAAUUAUUGAUCCAUUAUUUGUGAUUAUAAGAUUAAAUUACCUUAGGGAUAACAGCAUAAUUUUUUUUGAGAGUUCUUAUUGAAAAAAGAGAUUAUGACCUCGAUG
RNAcentral lists this ribosomal RNA (442 nucleotides) under Mantoida sp. MN180. RNAcentral describes it as "partial 16S ribosomal RNA". Lineage: Eukaryota; Metazoa; Arthropoda; Insecta; Mantodea; Mantoididae. The record is from RNAcentral.